GGCUCGUUGGUCUAGGGGUAUGAUUCUCGCUUUCGGUGCGAGAGAUCCCGGGCGCCCGAGAUCCCGGGUUCGAAUCCCGGACGAGCCC
Molecule: non-coding RNA, 88 nt
Organism: Gigantopelta aegis
Lineage: Eukaryota; Metazoa; Mollusca; Gastropoda; Neomphalida; Peltospiridae
Source: the annotation of a RefSeq genome assembly